UUUCGUUAAAAUUCCCUAUUAAAAUGGUGACAUGAAAGAACCAGUCAUCUUGCUCACCCAUAAUAGAAAAAUAGUUCAAUACGUCAUGAUCAUAAGUGUGCUAGUACUUGUUAAAAUAUUCCCGUCCUGAUGAUUUCUUAUCUGUAUAUAUAUCUCUACAUAUAUUGCAUAUGUAUAUUGUAUUCUUAUGUCUAUGUCACGCAUAUGUAUGUAUGUGAGUAAGCUUAAAUUAACAAGUGUCCAAACGAUUUUGAUAUACGAGGAGGUGUCUUGGGGAUCCGCGAGCAUCUAAAUCCAACCUGUUUUAAUAUUAAAUGUAUUUAGUUUAAGGACUUUCUUUUUUUUUUUUUUUUUUUCAGUUUCUAGUUUCAGUUACUAGAGUUUAAUUUUAACUUGCUACCCAUGGUUAAGAUCACUACUCUUUUCUCUAACUCGGGUAGGGUUUAACUUAACCCAGGCCUGAAGGACAGUACCAUAAUGGGUCAAACUUAAAGCUAAAGGUGCCUUUGAUUUCAAUAAUUGAGUCCUUAUCCUCAUAA
Molecule: long non-coding RNA, 539 nt
Filed under: Malus domestica (apple)
Lineage: Eukaryota; Viridiplantae; Streptophyta; Magnoliopsida; Rosales; Rosaceae
Description: long non-coding RNA (MDOM_LNC001177)
Source: RNAcentral